RNAcentral lists this ribosomal RNA (366 nucleotides) under Triticum aestivum (bread wheat). RNAcentral describes it as "partial small subunit ribosomal RNA". Lineage: Eukaryota; Viridiplantae; Streptophyta; Magnoliopsida; Poales; Poaceae. The record is from RNAcentral.
AUGAUUCUACGAGAUAGCACAGGCACCAUCAUCUUUGCUUCUUGCAGGUUACUAACGACCUGUGGGAGCGCUCUGGAGGCCGAAGUAGCAGCGUGCAUGGAGGGAAUCGCACUUACCCUCGAGUGGUCUACGCUGCCGUUCAUUCUGGAAACGGAUAGCAGUAUUGCAGCCAACAUGAUUGCAGAUUCUGAGCAAAAUAGAUCCCCUGUAGCUGCAUUAGUUGGUGAAGCUAAGAGACUACUUGGGCUUGGCCGUGAGCAUGUGAUAUCACUUGUGAGUAGGAGUAGAAAUAAAGCUAGCCAUUCCCUAGCUCAGAUGGGGAUUUCUGUUACCUCGUACUGCUGUUUGGCUUCGCCAUGGACCUGA